GAAUUGCAGAAUCCCGUGAACCAUCGAGUCUUUGAACGCAAGUUGCGCCUGAAGCCAUUAGGUUGAAGGCACGUCUGCCUGGGCGUCACGC
This 91-nucleotide ribosomal RNA is filed under the name Paphia meiniana. Its description in RNAcentral is "partial 5.8S ribosomal RNA". It matches the Rfam family "5.8S ribosomal RNA", at positions 69 to 154 of the family's 154-position model. Rfam says of the family: 5.8S ribosomal RNA (5.8S rRNA) is a component of the large subunit of the eukaryotic ribosome. It is transcribed by RNA polymerase I as part of the 45S precursor that also contains 18S and 28S rRNA. The record is from RNAcentral. Lineage: Eukaryota; Viridiplantae; Streptophyta; Magnoliopsida; Ericales; Ericaceae. RNAcentral also lists the same sequence under 3 other names.